AAUUCUAUACAAAUGAAUUCUGUGUUCAUUUGUGGAUGCAAAUGAAGAAGGGGUGAGUGCACUGCACGUGUCCAGAGUUACCUGGGGCUGUUUCUGGGCUCCAAUUUCUCUGCUGAGGUAUGUCAUCACCCACUAAUGGAAUGUUAUCCCCGAAUUUGAUUUAAGUCACAAAUGGCUAGAUGUGCAUGUUUGUGCGUGUGUGAGAUGGGACUCCAGUGCAUGUUUCCUCUGCCUAGUCAGAAAAAUGAUCAAACACCUCUCUUUGGUAACAAAGCUAGUCAAGACUUCUUUAUGGAAUUAUUAAGUUUAAGAAGUUGUCCCCCACCCCCUCAAAAAGUUUGAAAGUCAUUCACUUCCAAGUCUGCCAAUCUGUUGAUUUCAUAAUUUCCCAUCAUUAUUUUUUGACUAUUUUUUGUUUGUAUCUUUGCUAUGUAGCCCUGGCUAGCCAGUCUGGUACUUGCUAUAUAACCCAGGUUAGCCUCCAACUCAUAGCAACCCUCCUGCCUCAGUCUUCUGAGUGCUGAUACCUAGGCAUGAACCACCACACCCAGCUUUCUACAGGCUGAAACCUAGUAUGAGAUAAGCAUUUCUGGCAGGUGCAUAAUUUAAAGAUCUACUAGGAAAUUGAGGGUUAUUUUUGUUUUGUUUUUAGAUAGGAUCCUAUCCUGUAGCCCAGGCUGUCCUUGAAUGUAUAUGAUCUUGCUUCAAAUUUGCCAAGUUCUGGGAUCACAUCAUACCAGACAUUUUUUAAAAUUUCAAUAUAUAAGCAUUAAAAACCCAGAUUGAACAAAACAUCAAAAUCUUAGGAUGUAUCAGGAAUGGUAUUAAGGUGAAAGAGGUAAGAGCCCUUAAUUGAACAAAUAUGAGGACAAAUCCUGUCUACUUAAAUUGUGAUAUGUUCAUAAAGAUGUUUUUACAUUUAAAAAUUUUUAUUUUCUUUAAAUACUGUAUCAAGACAGUACUUAUCUUGAUUCGUGAGUUUUAAGCACUCCUUCAGUUUUCUCCCAGUGAGUGGUAGGUGAAUGCCUCGUGCCUUGCUAGCAUCACCUCAGACUUGUCCCAGUUUCUGAAGCUUGAAUAAUGCAGGUGAAACCUUCACCGUGAGCCCCUCUUCCUGGCUGCAGUCACCCUGUGUGCACUUCUGUCAUCCUUCUCCCACAACAUACAUAGGAUGCCUACCUGCCUGGGUGGGAAUGCAAACAGCCCAGCAGGGGUUUUCCUGUAGAAUAAAACCAGGGAAUUCCAUUUCCUUUGGGCUGCUGUGUUUGGACUUGGUCUGUUAUUAGAUUGUAUAAACUGAGGACAAAUGAAGAGAAUCAG
This 1320-nucleotide long non-coding RNA is filed under the name Mus musculus (house mouse). RNAcentral's name for it is "long non-coding RNA chr3:96157506-96158826". The record is from RNAcentral. Lineage: Eukaryota; Metazoa; Chordata; Mammalia; Rodentia; Muridae.